Molecule: ribosomal RNA, 253 nt
Filed under: uncultured bacterium
Lineage: Bacteria
Description: partial 16S ribosomal RNA
Rfam family: Bacterial small subunit ribosomal RNA
Source: RNAcentral
GACGUAGGGGACGAGCGUUGUCCGGAUUUAUUGGGCGUAAAGAGCUCGUAGGCGGCUUGUUGCGUCGACUGUGAAAACCCGCGGCUUAACCGCGGGCUUGCAGUUGAUACGGGCAGGCUAGAGUUCGGUAGGGGAGACUGGAAUUCCUGGUGUAGCGGUGAAAUGCGCAGAUAUCAGGAGGAACACCGGUGGCGAAGGCGGGUCUCUGGGCCGAUACUGACGCUGAGGAGCGAAAGCGUGGGGAGCGAACAGG